UACGAAGGGGGCUAGCGUUGUUCGGAAUUACUGGGCGUAAAGCGCGCGCAGGCGGUCUUCCAAGUCAGUGGUGAAAGCCCGGGGCUCAACUCCGGAAUUGCCUUUAAGACUGCAUCGCUCGAAUUGUGGAGAGGUAAGUGGAAUUCCGAGUGUAGAGGUGAAAUUCGUAGAUAUUCGGAAGAACACCAGUGGCGAAGGCGACUUACUGGACACAUAUUGACGCUGAGGUGCGAAAGCGUGGGGAGCAAACAGG
This 253-nucleotide ribosomal RNA is filed under the name uncultured bacterium. Its description in RNAcentral is "partial 16S ribosomal RNA". It matches the Rfam family "Bacterial small subunit ribosomal RNA", at positions 524 to 776 of the family's 1533-position model. The record is from RNAcentral.